UUGAAGAGUUUGAUCAUGGCUCAGAUUGAACGCUGGCGGCAGGCCUAACACAUGCAAGUCGAGCGGUAGCACAGAGAGCUUGCUCUCGGGUGACGAGCGGCGGACGGGUGAGUAAUGUCUGGGAAACUGCCUGAUGGAGGGGGAUAACUACUGGAAACGGUAGCUAAUACCGCAUAACGUCGCAAGACCAAAGUGGGGGACCUUCGGGCCUCAUGCCAUCAGAUGUGCCCAGAUGGGAUUAGCUGGUAGGUGGGGUAACGGCUCACCUAGGCGACGAUCCCUAGCUGGUCUGAGAGGAUGACCAGCCACACUGGAACUGAGACACGGUCCAGACUCCUACGGGAGGCAGCAGUGGGGAAUAUUGCACAAUGGGCGCAAGCCUGAUGCAGCCAUGCCGCGUGUGUGAAGAAGGCCUUCGGGUUGUAAAGCACUUUCAGCGGGGAGGAAGGCGGUGAGGUUAAUAACCUCAUCGAUUGACGUUACCCGCAGAAGAAGCACCGGCUAACUCCGUGCCAGCAGCCGCGGUAAUACGGAGGGUGCAAGCGUUAAUCGGAAUUACUGGGCGUAAAGCGCACGCAGGCGGUCUGUCAAGUCGGAUGUGAAAUCCCCGGGCUCAACCUGGGAACUGCAUUCGAAACUGGCAGGCUAGAGUCUUGUAGAGGGGGGUAGAAUUCCAGGUGUAGCGGUGAAAUGCGUAGAGAUCUGGAGGAAUACCGGUGGCGAAGGCGGCCCCCUGGACAAAGACUGACGCUCAGGUGCGAAAGCGUGGGGAGCAAACAGGAUUAGAUACCCUGGUAGUCCACGCUGUAAACGAUGUCGAUUUGGAGGUUGUGCCCUUGAGGCGUGGCUUCCGGAGCUAACGCGUUAAAUCGACCGCCUGGGGAGUACGGCCGCAAGGUUAAAACUCAAAUGAAUUGACGGGGGCCCGCACAAGCGGUGGAGCAUGUGGUUUAAUUCGAUGCAACGCGAAGAACCUUACCUGGUCUUGACAUCCACAGAACUUWSCAGAGAUGSWUUGGUGCCUUCGGGAACUGUGAGACAGGUGCUGCAUGGCUGUCGUCAGCUCGUGUUGUGAAAUGUUGGGUUAAGUCCCGCAACGAGCGCAACCCUUAUCCUUUGUUGCCAGCGGUYMGGCCGGGAACUCAAAGGAGACUGCCAGUGAUAAACUGGAGGAAGGUGGGGAUGACGUCAAGUCAUCAUGGCCCUUACGACCAGGGCUACACACGUGCUACAAUGGCAUAUACAAAGAGAAGCGACCUCGCGAGAGCAAGCGGACCUCAUAAAGUAUGUCGUAGUCCGGAUUGGAGUCUGCAACUCGACUCCAUGAAGUCGGAAUCGCUAGUAAUCGUAGAUCAGAAUGCUACGGUGAAUACGUUCCCGGGCCUUGUACACACCGCCCGUCACACCAUGGGAGUGGGUUGCAAAAGAAGUAGGUAGCUUAACCUUCGGGAGGGCGCUUACCACUUUGUGAUUCAUGACUGGGGUGAAGUCGUAACAAGGUAACCGUAGGGGAACCUGCGGUUGGAUCACCUCCUU
This 1536-nucleotide ribosomal RNA is filed under the name Klebsiella variicola. RNAcentral's name for it is "bacterial SSU rRNA". Lineage: Bacteria; Pseudomonadati; Pseudomonadota; Gammaproteobacteria; Enterobacterales; Enterobacteriaceae. The record is from RNAcentral.